UUGACAAAGCACCAGCUAAAACGCAGAAUACCAAUGACUCGUAGAGCCAUUUCCGGGCCUCCGACUGAGCAGGAGGGAGAAGGAUCUUCAGGAGCGAGUGUCUCAGGGCUGGAGAGAGAUCGGCACUGGAGUGCUGGGGAACCCAAACCUCAGCGUAAAUGGCCAGUGUUCCUUCUCUAGAAUGCACUGCUCCCUUGUUCAGUGAGAAGUGAGUCUGCCGGUGGGUACAACACCACAUGACAUUUCCAGCUCCAUAGACGACAGCCCUCACCUAGCUAUCAAGGUACAAAAGUAAACAUGGAGCUUGGGGACACCAUAUGUCCCUGACUCAUAGAGCUUGCAGGAAUCACCAUCAUUCUACGUGGCAUCUGCUUUCCUGGGCCAAGGUGGGAGACAGUGAUCGACUUCCUUCACUCUUGCCACGGGCCCACAUGGGGCUGGCCACUGUCUACAUUCAAGGGUUGUGAACUGAAUUGAGGGGUUGUAUUCUUCAACCAUUUUCUCCCUUGAACUGUCUUGAAUUUUCCCCUAAGUUGAAAAUGAAGCAGACCCUCGCUGAGUUUAAAGGAGAUCUGACUGACUUUGGGAAGUGGCAUCCAAUAAGACGCCUGUUUCUUCCGUCUGCUCCAGGGUGCGCCAACAGGAGAACGGAAAGCUAAAGGGCACCAGCUGAUGGGUGGGGCUGGACAGAAACGGCCCAGAGGAAAAUAGAGGAGUGCUUACUUCCAGUGCAUACUCCAUUUCCAAACCGCGAUCACACUGGCCCCUGCCAUGAAGAACAUAGGAUCUUCUCGGCUUUCUCUAUCUUUCGGGUUUUGUUUCCAUAACCAAGUCUCUGAGCUUUUCUUCUAAAGCAAAAAUUCCAAUUCCAGUUCAAGAAUGUUUCUAGGCUGGGCGCAGUAGCUCACACCUGUAAUCCCAACACUUUGGGAGGCCGAGGUGGGUGGAUGGCUU
Molecule: long non-coding RNA, 954 nt
Organism: Sapajus apella (tufted capuchin)
Lineage: Eukaryota; Metazoa; Chordata; Mammalia; Primates; Cebidae
Exons: 4
Source: RefSeq, a predicted model, not a curated record